UGUCAAAAAUGUAUUAUUUGCUCAAUUUGCUAUUAUCAUGUGAACAUAAAAUGAUCAGAAGAUUCAAAGAAUUCGAAGAAAAACUUCCAAAUUUCCCAGACAAAACAGGGAAAAGCCCUUUUUCUUGGUUGGUCAAAAGAAAUACUAAUAUUGAUUAAAAUUAAAAGAAAAAGUGAUGGCAGUAACAGAUGAUCAACAAUUUUGUUUAAAAUGGAAUAAUUUUCAAGCGAAUAUAACUUCUCAAUUUGAGACUCUUCGAGAUGAUGAAGAUUUUACUGAUGUUACAAUUGCCUGUGAAGGGCAAAAGCUACAGGCACAUAAGGUUGUGUUGUCAGCCUGUAGCCCAUUCUUUAAAGAACUCUUUAAGAGCAACCCUUGUCCCCAUCCAAUCAUAUUUAUGCGAGAUGUAGAAGCUCGGCAUAUCACAGCUUUGAUGGAAUUUAUGUAUGCGGGAGAAGUAAACGUAGCUCAAACUCAUCUCUCAGCAUUUCUCAAAACAGCUGAAUCGUUAAAAAUCAGAGGUCUAACUGAUACCUCAUCUGAUCUCGCCAAAGAAGAAGAUACUCAAGAUACUGUAUAUUCUCAGAAAAGUGCAAAACAUAAGUUAGAUAGGUCUCCAAAUCCAAAUAGUACUGUUACUUCUAGUCAAGAUGUUCCCGAGGCUUUGCCUAUAGUUUCUAGUCCUCCAGCAAAAAAACUUUGUAAAGACGAUACAGAACUAAAUUCUGAAAGGCAAGACGAGGCUGUGAAUUCUCACGGAAUAAAAGAUAUCGUGAGCGAAGAGAAGACAAAAGAGAUUGCCAAAAAUUUCGAACCUAAACUUGAGUUACCCGAUUAUUUAAGUGACGAUGCAGACGACGUUAGGGAUGAUAACGAUAUCGAAGGGCUGGCAACCAGAUUAUAUCCAGCAACGGACAUCAAGGAAUUGUCAGGCGGAAUGGAAAUUAUACCUCAAUCUUCAGGCUUCCUAGAUAAGGAGUGUAAACAGGAAUUUUUAGGGCCAGGCAACGACAUGAGAAAACUUCACUCGCUGGAUCCCAGACCGUGCGACGAAUGCGGCAAAGUAUACAGUAAUCUUUCUAAUUUGCGACAACAUAUGAGACUAAUACAUUACCCCACAUACGUGCAGUGCGUCUUUUGCCAGAAACAGUUCAAGACAGACCUUUAUCUCAGAAGACAUGUCAUUAGUGCUCAUAACAACGUGAAUGCAACUUACUAUAGACCUGGCCUGCAAAGUGACAAAAUAGCUAAUUCCAAAUAUGUUGAUGGGCAGGAUAAUAAAAAUGACAUUUACCUAAAAACCGGAUUAUUUAAAACGCAGUAUUAGAAUUUAAAAAUGUUCUUGUAGACUUUAAAGUUACUCUUAUCAAAGUACGAAAUAAUUGUCAGGGACAUGGAAUAUGCCUUCCUGCUUCUGGGUUAUUACUCACGCCCACAGAAAAAUGUGUAAAUAAAAUAAACGUAACCUACCUUUUAAAGAUAUAAUCAGUUGAUUUCUUUAAAUCACAAUUUUAGAGAAAAGAAAAUAGUCGAACACACGUUUAAACCCUUUUGGUUGCGUUAAUAACAUUAUAUGAGAGUUAUUUGCCAGCAAUUUAAUUGAAUUCAUGAUCAAGGUCAUUCAAGGUUAAAUCUCAUUUGAUUGUCUGAAACACUGGCCAGGAAUGAAUUGUAUAUUGUUAAAACUGUGAAGUGUAUAUGCAGGUGCAUUGACAAGAACAAAGUGAACAAACUACACAAGAAACAAGAUUUCUAAAUUGAUCCAAAAAUAGAUCUGGAAUAGACUGUGCAUUCUUCUUCCUCUUCUUCUGCUUCUUCUUCUUUUAAUAGGACUAUGUCCUGUUUCUUCUGUUACAGUUUCUGCUGCGAUCCGGAGCUCCAGCUCUUGUACCAUCGUUUUUUGGGUUAGCUCUCUCAAUGUGUCUUCGUUUCGUAUCCUAUCUCUGAGUGUGAUACCUCUUAUGGAUCAUAGGGUUUUCAUCUCUGUUGUUCUCAUUAUUUGUUAGGUCUUUAUUGUCUCAGCAGCAUAUGUCAGUACGGGUCGAAGGUCUAACACAUAACUUAUAAAUAUGCGGACUUUGCUUUCAGUACUCAUAUAUUUAUCCCGCCAGAUUAUAUCCCUCAGGAAACCAGAUAUUUUCGCUGCUUUCGUUGCCUGUUGUUUUAUUUCUUGCCACAGAUGCCUGUCGCUAGACAAUGCAGGUAAACUAGAAGUCAAACAAUAGGGAACUUGCACUAAAAAAAUGUUUUGCAUAAAAUUGUUAAUUUAUGUUUUAGAAUGUUAUAUUCAAAAUAUUACGUCUUAACAAUGAAUAGUGUACGUACAACAUCUGAUCAAAGUUCCGCGCCUAAAAUUUUCGUUUCAAACAACUUCAAAAGCGAGAGCUGGGGUCUGACGUCAUAGGCCACUCGUAUCGUUUGCCCGUUCGGUGGGCUAUUGCAUUUAAUGCAGUUUGCCCAUAGAUAAAUAAUAUAGUUGAAAUAUCUUGUUUUACUCUGUGGCAAAAAUGAUUUUUUCUGUGACAGGCAAAAUAUUAACAUUUUAUCUCUGUUGACAUGUAUCAAAAUGUUCUUUUUUAUGAAAUUACUUUUGUCGUUUCUUGUGUUGAAGAACAAAGAAGAAACAAGUAACUUAAAAAUAAACAAAACUUUUAGUAAUAAAAGUAAGAGUAACUAAAAAAUAUUGGUGCUACUAUAGUAUGCGGUCUACAGUCGGGUUUCUACUAUAGCUUGCGGUCUACCGAGGGAUGCGGUGUAAGUAUAAGCUGAGAUGAUAAAGAUACUAACUUGUAAAAUUACAAUAAUGAUUCUUCUUAUUUAUGCGUAUUAUUAACUUUGUAAAGAAGGAUUUUGUUGGCUAUGUACACGUUCUAUCGGUACAUCUGCUAAUCACCAUAAUCUUUUCUCAGAAGGCUUUGAACACAAUAAUGAAAGGCUCCAUAGGUACUAAUAAACAUUACAAUAAAAUAUAAUCUUUAUUAUAAUGCAAAUUACACCGUAAUCUUUUCCAGGAUAUACGAAAUCCUUCGAUUAGAGGUAGGUAGAUCAAACCCACGGGGUAAACCGUAUACUAUAAUAU
This 3079-nucleotide unclassified non-coding RNA is filed under the name Diabrotica virgifera virgifera (western corn rootworm). Its description in RNAcentral is "protein abrupt-like". The record is from RNAcentral. Lineage: Eukaryota; Metazoa; Arthropoda; Insecta; Coleoptera; Chrysomelidae.